Molecule: ribosomal RNA, 253 nt
Filed under: uncultured bacterium
Lineage: Bacteria
Description: partial 16S ribosomal RNA
Rfam family: Bacterial small subunit ribosomal RNA
Source: RNAcentral
UACGAAGGGUGCAAGCGUUACUCGGAAUUACUGGGCGUAAAGCGUGCGUAGGCGGUUUGUUAAGUCUGUCGUGAAAGCCCCGGGCUCAACCUGGGAAUGGCGAUGGAAACUGGCGAGCUAGAGUACGGUAGAGGAGAGUGGAAUUCCCGGUGUAGCAGUGAAAUGCGUAGAGAUCGGGAGGAACAUCAGUUGCGAAGGCGGCUCUCUGGGCCAGUACUGACGCUGAGGCACGAAAGCGUGGGGAGCAAACAGG